UGAGAUGGCCUCUCGCCCUAUUCAGUGUAACAGCUGUGGUAGUGGGUUUGGUCGCUCGCAUUUAAAUUGGAAGGGUAAUGGUGGACCGCACUUCUCCCUUAGUAGGACGUUGCGACCUGUCAAAUAAUAUCCUAAGUAUUUGGCUAAUUUGUCUGUUUUUAGGCAGUACUGAAAGGUAUUUCCUUUAACAGUUUUAGCCGUUUACAUACUGGAUAUAAUUGACAGUAACGAAUCAUGGUGUUGAGCCACUUACUUUGUAAGUGUCCUUUAUGGCUGUUUGCAAGUGGGUUGGUUAAUUAGUUUUAGUCGGAUUUUGGUCCGUCUAACUAUUCCGCCUACUGUUGGUAAACUGUUCCUUGGACAGUGCUUAUAACACCGGUCGGCAGCGAUUCAGGUUCAGGCUCUUAUCCGACCCGUCUUGAAACACGGACCAAGGAGUUUAGCGUGUACGCAAGUCAUUGGGUGUAUAAAACCCAAAGGCGCAUG
RNAcentral lists this ribosomal RNA (486 nucleotides) under Triatoma pseudomaculata. Its description in RNAcentral is "eukaryotic LSU rRNA". Lineage: Eukaryota; Metazoa; Arthropoda; Insecta; Hemiptera; Reduviidae. The record is from RNAcentral.